Molecule: long non-coding RNA, 4654 nt
Organism: Tympanuchus pallidicinctus (lesser prairie-chicken)
Lineage: Eukaryota; Metazoa; Chordata; Aves; Galliformes; Phasianidae
Exons: 8
Source: RefSeq, a predicted model, not a curated record
GACGGAGCCAGGCUGCACCCGGCAGCGCCCAGCAGCGGGACCGGGGGCACUGGGCACACGCUGCAGCGCAGCAGGUUUCCCCGCAGUGCUGCAACGGACGCACGAGUUCGAGAGUUUGAUUCCGCAGAGCAGUUGGGCACCCCAGAUGGGACACUCUCUGUUCGGCUGCAGGACCAGUUGAGGAGGGAGACGCCUUUGGCGCGCCCCGAGAAUUCUUGGAAGGACUCCCCCUGCUCAUCCGAUCACUGCGGGGACAGACGGGGACCAUCUGGAAGCGGACCAGAUGCACGAUUUCAGGCCAGCCUCUGUUUUCUGUAAGACUCCGUUAUUAAAGUGUAUUUGCAUGCAGUGGCUGUGAAGUUCAAGGUCCUGGCGACAGAUUGCAUUGAGGACCAGGUCAGAAGACCUGGAAAAUGGGGCCUUGUCAACUCCUUUGACUGCUUCUUUAAACGAGUCCUGGCAGAUGGCUGCUCAGAGCUGUAUUCUCUGCUUUAUUGAUGUGCACAUAAAAGACUGGUGCUGCAGCUGACUGCAGGUCCUGUUAUUCCAUCCCCACAAAAGAUAUUCUGAGAAUCUGUGUUUUUCUGUUCCUAUUAUUAGUGUUACUUCAUUAUUAGGAUGAUAGCUUAUUGAGGAACGUAGACUGCUCUGAAAGGAAUGCCUCCUAUUUAUUUCCACAGAAAUGACAACGGAUACAUAGGGCGAGUUCUCAACUACAAAGCUGUUUUUCAACAUGGUCACCACCAUUAACUAUCGUUUUGUUGGUUUUUGUUUUUUUCUUCCAGUGUUGAGUGAGAGCCUGCGUGCUGUGCUUGUUUAAAAAGAAAUCAUAAUAAUUAAAAUAGAUCCUUUUGCUGUCUGGGUGGCUCGUCUUGCAUUGCUGCGCCACUGCUGAAAUGCACCACCACUGCUUCACUGCACUCACCUCCACGUGUCGGGCUUCAUAAAUGUUCUGCAGGCAUUGAUGGAUGUCAGUGGUGCGAUUUUUUCAGUGUGGAGGAGUUCAGGGACACCCUGUGCUCCAUGAGCACUUCCGAGCUUGGUGCUGUGCUGUCAUUCUGGCCCUCUGCUGCCGUCUGUGGCACGGCUGCAAACUGUAACUGAGUGCUGGCAGGAAGGUUCAGCCUCUGCUGUCAUCCCACCAGCGUCCACCUGUGAUGUUGUGGGCCGGCUUUAUAGGACAGGAGGCAUUACUUUUGGAUCAGCCCUUGUGUAGUUAUGAAAAAUUAAGGUUUAUAAAGGCUGGCUGAGUAAAUUGGUGGCUGCUAAUGAGAUCCACAACUACAGGAAAACAGUAGUUAGACACUGACAGCUUUCAAGGUCAGUUUAGAUUACCUGGCUGUGUUGGGUUAUUUUUUAUUUAAUGUUGUGUUUCAUUGCAGUAUUUUCUGAAAAAUCCUCAAGUGUGGCAUUCCGAAUCUGCCAACUCUGGUAUUCUUGAGCAACUCCAUCCUGUAAAGCAGAUACACGCUUUGAGAGUAGUGAUUGACGUGGUUCCAGCGUGACAGUGCAGGACAUGGCUGUCCUUUUCCAUCUUCAGGCCCACCUUACUGCCUUUUCAUCCUGUGCACUGAAUUGCAGUGGCAUGUCAGUAUCGAAUCCCUCAGCACUGUGCUGAGCCUCACCUUACUCAUACUCACCCACUGGACGUUACUCAGCUUUAGCAAUCAUGUUUCUGCUACAGAAGGGCUUGCCGGAUAUCUGUAGUAUUGAUCCGGCCCGAAGGUGACAACCUUCCAACCUGCUGGUCUCUGCCCAUGUUCUCUGUCACAACAUCGGAUGUGUGUGCUCGCUGGAUGCACUGGUAAGAAAUGUUUUUGAGAAGAGAACCUCGUGCUUCCCAGAGCAGUAAGACUGUGAGGAUUUGGGAGGCCCUUCACAAACCUGGUUAGAGUGUGCUUUCCGAAACGGCGUGCUGUUAAAGCAGCCUUUCUCAAAAGCAGAGCGUUGUGCCUGGUGUGACUUAAAUCCCACCCACAAAGGAGCAUUCCCUGCAGUCUCUGAUCUCAGGUGCGUGUUUCCCCCACUGCUGGAACUGCUGGACUUUCACGCCUUCACUGUGUGUGUUUGGGUCUCUUUAUUAGCUCUGUUUGUUCUACUAGCUGUAUGCAAACGUAUCAGGAGGUAAUGAAAAGAUCUUUGAAAAUAGCUUGGAGAUAUUAACCUGAGGCAAGAAGGUGAAUUUUACUGCCUUAAAUUAGGUUUCAGAGGAUGUCCUUGAACUCAGAAGCUUGGGCUUUGUUGUAGCCUGAUAUUUACUGCUUGAACUUUAACUCUAGGACUGGAGGGGGAGCUUUUCUUCACACCUUCCUGUGUAUGAAAUCUACACUUGAACUGCACUCGAGACGGGCAGAAAUGUAGCUGAGCAGAGCCUCCAGCAGCUCAGCCCUUUCCUUCAGACUAUGAAGAUGGCUUUAAUAUUCAAGAGCCCGGUACUCGGAGAAAAGCAGCCGACUGCAGUCACCCUUUCCCGGCGACCGAGAAGCACAAGACCGCUGCUGGAGGCUGCAAGUGGCAUUCGGGGAGAAUAGCAAAUUCUUGGUGGGGAGUGCAAACGCUCCGGAGCGGUUCCCCCUAGUGUUGUUUUCGAACAGCGUGAGGGAAGAAGUGCCAUUCCAAUGCUGAGAACAUGCGAAUUUGGCCUGCCUUCUGUGGUCCUUCAGAUUGCAGAACUGGAGCCACUGAGAAGCACACUAUCACGAAUUGUUGCUGGAUCGAAAGGCAUGGACACAACCUUCAUGCCAGGCGUAGAGCUGUCUGCUUAUUUUUACAUGAGGCGAAGUCCAAACUGCUCCGUUCCUAUGUGAGCAGAAGAGCCCACUACUGGUAGAAAAGACGCCGGUUGCACUCGACCUUUCCCGGCGACCAAGAAGAAUGGGACCGCUGCUCGAAGCUGCAAGCGACAUUCGGGGAGAAUAGCGAAUUCUCGGUGGCGAGUGCAAACAAUUCGGAGCGGUUCGCUCCGAGUGCCGCUUUCGAACAGUGAGAGUGAAGUAGUGCCAUUCCGAUGAUGAGAACUUGCGAAUUCUGCUUGCCUUCUGCGGACCUGCCGAAAAGGUUUUUUUCUCCGCAGUGCAGACUACAGCGCUCCCGACUUUUUCGAAUGUGCUCCCAAAGAGCACAUCUGUCACUCCUUGCUAUUCCCCUUCCCUCUUUACAGAUUGUUAUCCCUUCGACUCUUGUUGUCACAGAUUGCAGACUUGGAGGGAUAAACUCACUACCACGACAUGUCUCUCAAUCGAAAGUCAUGGAGACAACCUUCAGAGCCAGACGUAGUGCAAUCUUCGUAUUUUUACACAAGGCGAAGUCCAAACAUCUCCUCUCCCACAUGUGCAUAAGAGCACGCUAUUCGGAGAAAAGCAUCCGACUGCAGUCGACCAUUCCCGGCGACCGAGAAACACGAGACCGCUGCUGGAGGCUGCAAGCUGCAUUCGCAGAGAAGUGUGUUUUCUCAUGCAGCAACGGCAAGCACUCCGGAGCGGUUCACCGCGAGAGCCGCUUACAAACCGUGACAGCGCGUAGUGCCAUUCCGAUGCCAAGAACUUGUGAAUUCUGCCUGCCUUCUGCGGUCCUUUUGACGGGGUUUUUUCUAAUGCAGACGUGGAGCCACGGAGAAGCACAGCGCAUCGAAUUGUCGCUCGAUCCAAAGGCAUGGACACAGCAUUCAGAGCCAAGGGUAGAGCAUUCUUCGUUUUUUUACACGAAGCAAAGCCCUGUUGGAUUUUUCCCUACAGAGUGUGUGGAACUCAUUAACAACAAAGUUCCCGAGGCUCUCAUCAGUUCGGUGCCAAAGCCAGCACGGGGCGUAUGGCUGGUGUUUGUAGGCAAUUGAGAAUGAGGGAAGGCAAAGGCAGUUGUCCUUCAAGUCAGUACGAGGCUGAGAACAACCAGCGUCCCUGGUGGACAGAUAGAGGUCUGGUUGUGCUGGUGACAAGCUUCAUCAGAACGUGGCUUUUCAAGAGGGUCCUUAAUACCCAAGUUGAGCAAUCUGAGCAAGAGGAGUGCAUUAAACUCCAUCAGAACCUGCGGAGAUUUGACCCAGUCCUCCAGUGCUUAUGACUGGAGUUGGGGAAAUCCCAGAAUCCUCGUAGAAUGGCUUGGGAUGGAAGGGAGCUCAAGGAUCAUCCAGCUCCAACUCCCCUGCCUCAAGCUAGGCUGCCAACCAAGCUCCACGUUCAAUGCGAGACGAGACCCCGCUGUCCAGGUCCCCAUCCAACCUGGCUUUGGAUUCCUCCAGAAAUGGGGAAAAUCCAUGUUUGUAUGCACUUGCUCAUCGUGUUCUUCCCGUUUUGACGUGCGCUGUUGUCAUGGUUCUAUGUGUUUGUUUGCUUUUAUUUUGGGUUUCAGUAUUCCACAUCAAAACAUCAUGUAGUGUAUGGGGCAUUAAAGUGUCACUGCCCCAAUCCCAGGUACCUAUCCCUGUACAUUACAGCAGUCAUGGGAUCUGGCCCUUCCGGGUGGGGGGGGCGCUCUCUUGCUGCCUUGCAGUGGAUGCUGGAGGUGCUUUCCUGGCCGUUCCAAGCUUUUCAGGUUUGACUCGGUCCCGGGAACUCUCUCUCUCAUCUUGUCUGAUUUAUUAAUCUCAAUUUCAAUUACAUUGUAUAUAUUGUGUUAUCUUGUAUUCCAAUAUUAUAGUAAAAUAAGUUUUCCUCCA